CCUACGGGAGGCAGCAGUGGGGAAUAUUGCACAAUGGGGGAAACCCUGAUGCAGCGACGCCGCGUGAGUGAAGAAGGAUUUCGGUACGUAAAGCUCUAUCAGCAGGGAAGAAAAUGACGGUACCUGACUAAGAAGCCCCGGCUAACUACGUGCCAGCAGCCGCGGUAAUACGUAGGGGGCAAGCGUUACCCGGAUUUACUGGGGGUAAAGGGAGCGUAGACGGCAGCGCAAGUCUGGAGUGAAAUCCCAUGGCUUAACCAUGGAACUGCGUUUGAAACUGUGAAGCUAGAGUGCAGGAGAGGUAAGCGGAAUUCCUGGUGUAGCGGUGAAAUGCGUAGAUAUUAGGAGGAACACCAGUGGCGAAGGCGGCUUACUGGACUGUAACUGACGUUGAGGCUCGAAAGCGUGGGGAGCAAACAGGAUUAGAUACCCGUGUAGUC
Molecule: ribosomal RNA, 440 nt
Filed under: uncultured bacterium
Lineage: Bacteria
Description: partial 16S ribosomal RNA
Rfam family: Bacterial small subunit ribosomal RNA
Source: RNAcentral